ACCUGAUAGUAUGGUGAGAUUGCAUGAUAGCACCAUUAAAGAUUUAUUGGUAAACGAUGGGGAUGCGUUCCAUUAGAUAGUAGGCGGGGUAACGGCCCACCUAGUCUUCGAUGGAUAGGGGUUCUGAGAGGAAGGUCCCCCACAUUGGAACUGAGACACGGUCCAAACUCCUACGGGAGGCAGCAGUGAGGAAUAUUGGUCAAUGGGCGAGAGCCUGAACCAGCCAAGUAGCGUGAAGGAUGACUGCCCUAUGGGUUGUAAACUUCUUUUAUAAAGGAAUAAAGUCGGGUAUGGAUACCCGUUUGCAUGUACUUUAUGAAUAAGGAUCGGCUAACUCCGUG
This 341-nucleotide ribosomal RNA is filed under the name uncultured bacterium. RNAcentral describes it as "bacterial SSU rRNA". It matches the Rfam family "Bacterial small subunit ribosomal RNA", at positions 168 to 507 of the family's 1533-position model. The record is from RNAcentral.